This 1746-nucleotide ribosomal RNA is filed under the name Oceanicaulis sp. HLUCCA04. RNAcentral describes it as "bacterial LSU rRNA". It matches the Rfam family "Bacterial large subunit ribosomal RNA", at positions 12 to 1874 of the family's 2925-position model. The record is from RNAcentral. Lineage: Bacteria; Pseudomonadati; Pseudomonadota; Alphaproteobacteria; Maricaulales; Maricaulaceae.
UAAGGGCGUUUGGUGGAUGCCUUGGCGGUAAGAGGCGAUGAAGGACGUGGCACGCUGCGUUAAGUCCCGGGGAGUUGCGAGCAAACUUUGAUCCGGGAAUAUCCGAAUGGGGAAACCCACCUUUACAGACCCUGGCGGUCGCUCGUCCGAGUAAUCGGACGAUCGGUCACCAGAGUUUGUGAGAGGUAUCUAAACCUGAAUACAUAGGGUUUUAGAAGCGAACCCGGGGAACUGAAACAUCUCAGUACCUGGAGGAAAGGACAUCAAUUGAGACUCCCUCAGUAGCGGCGAGCGAACGGGGACCAGGCCAACGUCUCUCUCUGCAUCAGCGGAACAGUCUGGAAAGGCUGGCCAUAGUGGGUGAUAGCCCCGUACGUUAAAAUAAAGAGAGAGAAUUCGAGUAGGGCGGGACACGUGAAAUCCUGUCUGAACAUGGGGGGACCACCCUCCAAGCCUAAGUACUCCUUACCGACCGAUAGCGAACCAGUACCGUGAGGGAAAGGUGAAAAGCACCCCAAUGAGGGGAGUGAAACAGACCCUGAAACCGGACGCCUACAAGCAGUUGGAGCCCCCUUGCGGGGUGACAGCGUACCUUUUGUAUAAUGGGUCAGCGACUUAGUCUCUCGAGCAAGCUUAAGCCGAUAGGUGUAGGCGUAGCGAAAGCGAGUCUGAAUAGGGCGAUUUAGUUCGAGGGAUUAGACCCGAAACCGAGUGAUCUAGCCAUGUGCAGGCUGAAGGUGAGGUAACACUCACUGGAGGGCCGAACCCACGUCUGUUGAAAAAGACGGGGAUGACGUGUGGCUAGGGGUGAAAGGCCAAUCAAACUCGGAAAUAGCUGGUUCUCCGCGAAAUCUAUUUAGGUAGAGCGUCGUGUAUUACCCUCGGGGGUAGAGCACUGGAUGGGCUAGGGGGCCUCACCGGCUUACCAAACCUAACCAAACUCCGAAUACCGGGGAGUACAGCACGGCAGACACACUACGGGUGCUAAGGUCCGUAGUGGAGAGGGAAACAGCCCUGACCGCCAGCUAAGGUCCCAAAGUCAUGGCUAAGUGGGAAACGAUGUGGGAAUGCUUAGACAACCAGGAGGUUGGCUUAGAAGCAGCCAUCCUUUAAAGAAAGCGUAACAGCUCACUGGUCAAGCGUUCCUGCGCGGAAAAUGUAACGGGGCUUAAGCCAUGCACCGAAGCUGCGGACUCGAAAGAGUGGUAGCGGAGCGUUCUGUAGGCCUGUGAAGGGUUGCCGCAAGGUUGCCUGGAGGUAUCAGAAGUGAGAAUGCUGACAUGAGUAGCGAUAAAGGGAGUGAGAGACUCCCUCGCCGAAAGUCCAAGGGUUCCUGCGCAAUGCUAAUCAGCGCAGGGUAAGCCGGCCCCUAAGGCGAGGCCGAAAGGCGUAGUCGAUGGGAAUCAGGUUAAUAUUCCUGAGCCAGCGGAUAGUGACGGAUACUGGAAAUUGUCUACCCUUAUUGGAUUGGGUGGGCAGUGAAGGUGUUCCUGGAAAUAGCUUCCGCAUUGAGACCGUACCCCAAACCGACACAGGUGGACUGGUAGAGCAUACCAAGGCGCUUGAGAGAACUCUGUUGAAGGAACUCGGCAAAUUACUCCCGUAAGUUCGCGAGAAGGGAGCCUGGCGCUGCGCAAGCAGUGUCCAGGGGCACAGACCAGGGGGUGGCGACUGUUUACUAAAAACACAGGGCUCUGCGAAGUCGCAAGACGACGUAUAGGGUCUGACGCCUGCCCGGUGCCGGAA